Molecule: long non-coding RNA, 1743 nt
Organism: Panicum virgatum (switchgrass)
Lineage: Eukaryota; Viridiplantae; Streptophyta; Magnoliopsida; Poales; Poaceae
Exons: 4
Source: RefSeq, a predicted model, not a curated record
AUAAGAUAAUAAAUUACGACCUAAUUAGGCUCAUUAGAUUAAUCUCGCAAUUUAUAAGUAAAUUAUGCAAUUGGUUUUUUAUUUCAUCUAGAUUUAAUAGUUCAUGCAUUAUGCUGCAACAUUCAAUGUGAUAAUUUUGAAAUUUUGAAUUUUGCAUCUAAUGAAGGCUUUGAUCGAUAAAUUUACAGCUACGUUCCAAACGUGGAAAUCGGGCUAUGCGACGGCGAGGCGAGCAGACCCAGUCAAUCAGUCAGUCACCGUCGCACCACGGCCGCAGUUGGUGGCGGCGCGCCACCGCGGAGAACAAGUGCCAGUCGACUCGGUCAAGCACGGCACAGAUUCCAGUGGCGAUGUGCGUGCCCGCCCAAUGCCGGCACGGCGACGUCCCAUCUCCUUCGCUUUUUCCACUUGCACCUCCGGCGACCGCCGCUGCCACGAUCAAGAAGUCAGAUCCGACUACCAGCUGCUCGCCGCCACCGCACCUAAAUCGUCUUGCUGCUCUCCGGCCUGGAUCCAGCAUCCAGAAUUCCGUGCUCUCCGGCGGCCACCUACUAUCAUUUUAGCGAGGCCGACCGUCCACCUCGUCCGGCCCUGGUUUCGUGCUGCCUCCUCUUCUGUUCCCGUCGGGUGUACACGGCCGUGCACACACAGCACGUCCUGCAAUUAGCACUCUGCAAGGCAGCAUCUCGUCUCCAUCCAACAAGACUAGCUGGGCCGUGCAGUGAUGCCUUCUGCAGUUCUGCUUUGCUUGGAUCAACUAAGAGCCGCCGCUUUGAGCAGGUGAUAUCAUACUUUGGGAACCUUCAAUUUGUUGGCUGGCAAGCUCUGAAUAGGAUAAACUAUGUAUUGGAUGGUCUGUGGUAUCAGGUUCUUCCUCUGGUUCCUGCUUUUGAUGAGCACCUCAUCUUUUUGUUCUGGUUCUGAACUUGAUGUAAGAUGCUUGAAGUCUCUACAGAGAUCAGUGAUUGAUUCUAGGGGCGUAUUAGAAUCCUCAUGGAAUUUUAGCAGCUUCAUAUGCUUCUUCACUGGCGUGGAAUGCUCUGGAACGAGUCUGGUGAAGAAGUGAGGGUUCUCUCGCUGCGUCUCAGCAACAUGGGCCUUGAAGGCCAAUUUCCUCAAGGGCCCAUCCCUUCCGACAUUGCAAGGCAGCUGCCCUAUUUGUCAACUCUGGACCUUUCAGACAAUAUUUUUUCAGGUGAAAUCCCUCCUGGCAUCUCAAAUAUGACAUAUCUGAACGUCCUGACAUUCAGCACAACCAACUCAGCGGUCAAAUUCCAAGAGACUUCGAUGAGCUUCGGUUAAGAUCGCUCAAUGUCGCAGACAACCAGUUGUCUGGGCUUAUCCCUUCGUCUUGGUCCAAGUUCCCGGUUUCGAGCUUCUCUGGUAAUCAAGGGCUCUGCGGUCCACCGUUGGAUGAUUGUGCGGAUACAAAGCAAGCGAGUCUGAUUCGUACAUCAUCAAUGACAUGAUCAAAGACGACUUCAUUGUUGUCGGCGCGGCUGCGGGGGUCGUGGUGGGAUUCGUGGUGGCGUUCUACUUCCCGCACUUGUUCGUCUUCUCCCAAAAGCUCCAUCCAUAUGUCUACCGCAUCUGUUGAUAUGUUACAUGAAACUUUUUCCCCGCACGAAAAAAUAACUGUGAUCUGCACGACUUGUUAAAACUAUCCACUGAUUGUACUUCUUAUUCAAAUCAGUUAUGCCUUCUGAUAGUACUUCCAAUCAUGUUCAAUUUAACAUUGGUCUU